RNAcentral lists this ribosomal RNA (689 nucleotides) under uncultured bacterium. RNAcentral's name for it is "bacterial SSU rRNA". It matches the Rfam family "Bacterial small subunit ribosomal RNA", at positions 614 to 1306 of the family's 1533-position model. The record is from RNAcentral.
ACCGCAAGCGGUCAUGGAACUGGGAACUGAGUACAGAAGAGGAGAGCGGAAUCCACGUGUAGCGGUGAAAUGCGUAGAGAUGUGGAGGAACACCAGUGGCGAAGGCGGCUCUCUGGUCUGUAACUGACGCUGAGGUGCGAAAGCGUGGGGAGCGAACAGGAUUAGAUACCCUGGUAGUCCACGCCGUAAACGAUGAGUGCUAGGUGUUAGGGGGUUUCCGCCCCUUAGUGCUGCAGUUAACGCAUUAAGCACUCCGCCUGGGGAGUACGGCCGCAAGGCUGAAACUCAAAAGAAUUGACGGGGGCCCGCACAAGCGGUGGAGCAUGUGGUUUAAUUCGAAGCAACGCGAAGAACCUUACCAGGUCUUGACAUCUUCGGAUGUCCCUAGAGAUAGGGAGUUCCCUUCGGGGACCGAAUGACAGGUGGUGCAUGGUUGUCGUCAGCUCGUGUCGUGAGAUGUUGGGUUAAGUCCCGCAACGAGCGCAACCCUUGAUCUUAGUUGCCAGCAUUGAGUUGGGCACUCUAAGGUGACUGCCGGUGACAAACCGGAGGAAGGUGGGGAUGACGUCAAAUCAUCAUGCCCCUUAUGACCUGGGCUACACACGUGCUACAAUGGAUGGUACAAAGGGCAGCGAAGCCGUGAGGUGAAGCCAAUCCCAUAAAACCAUUCUCAGUUCGGAUUGUAGGCU